UUGACCAAAAUCUUUCAAAUGUCUUGUGGUCUCUUUCACUUCAGCAUUGCUUUAAAGUUUAAACAAAUUUCAGCAUAGUUCAUUCUAUACUAACAAAUUUGCUUUGAAUGCAUUAUAAGAAACAACAACAUAUUGUUUAAUGAAAACUGUUUUAGUUCCUGUUUUGGUAAAUUUCCAACCUUGGCUCCUCUAGUUAUUUUAUAUUACUUCAGCUUUAGAUUUAAUACAAUGAUUAUUUUUGCGUUGUUAAACAAUGAUUUGUUUAAGGCUGAUGGAGUCAUGGAACUCUGGAUUAUUAUCUUAGUUUUUGCUGAAAUCUCGAGUAGAGGUAAUUCCGGCCAUAUAAGACUGGAACGUUGGUGCACCUUAUAUUUUGACGCUGGACAAUCCCUCAAAUAGGUUCCAGAAGAAGGAACUAGGUAUUGUUAUUUGAAGUUAACUUGAAGUGCUAGUGACUUGAAGGUAUUUUGGUCAUCCGUGGAGAAUGACAUUUUGGUUAGACACUUAGUUAAUCCCCUCUAAAACUCUUGGCUCUUGAUACAUGUGUCUUUUGAUGAAAAUGUUGUGUAUGAUGUAUUUUAAGUCUUGAAGUCUUGACUCUUAUGAUGGAUUGAAGUGUAAAUCAUUUUGGAGUCAAAUUGGCCAUUUCGUCACUUUGGGUAAAUGCGGGCGAGUGACCCGUUUGGUCGUUUUAAUGUAAAUUUCAAUGGUUAAGGUUUCGGAUGUAUCCAUUAUGUUGUAAUAAGUGAUUUUACUC
Erigeron canadensis is the source of this 757-nucleotide long non-coding RNA. RefSeq lists it as uncharacterized. The transcript has 2 exons. The record is from RefSeq and is a predicted model, not a curated record. NCBI's taxonomy places the organism in Eukaryota, Viridiplantae, Streptophyta, Magnoliopsida, Asterales, Asteraceae.